GGGGUUGUGGCUCAGUGGUAGAGCACCUGCCUUGAAUGUGUGGGGCACUGGGUUCAAUCCUCAGCACCA
RNAcentral lists this transfer RNA (69 nucleotides) under Ictidomys tridecemlineatus (thirteen-lined ground squirrel). RNAcentral describes it as "Spermophilus tridecemlineatus (thirteen-lined ground squirrel) tRNA". It matches the Rfam family "tRNA". From Rfam's summary of the family: Transfer RNA (tRNA) molecules are approximately 80 nucleotides in length. Their secondary structure includes four short double-helical elements and three loops (D, anti-codon, and T loops). Further hydrogen bonds mediate the characteristic L-shaped molecular structure. tRNAs have two regions of fundamental functional importance: the anti-codon, which is responsible for specific mRNA codon recognition, and the 3' end, to which the tRNAs corresponding amino acid is attached (by aminoacyl-tRNA synthetases). tRNAs cope with the degeneracy of the genetic code in two manners: having more than one tRNA (with a specific anti-codon) for a particular amino acid; and 'wobble' base-pairing, i.e. permitting non-standard base-pairing at the 3rd anti-codon position. The record is from Rfam by way of RNAcentral. Lineage: Eukaryota; Metazoa; Chordata; Mammalia; Rodentia; Sciuridae.